UACGGGGGGUGCAAGCGUUAAUCGGAAUUACUGGGCGUAAAGGGUGCGUAGGUGGAUAUGUAAGUCAUUUUUGAAAUGCCUGGGCUCAACCUAGGUUGGUGAGAUGAGACUGUGUAUCUAGAGUAUAGGAGAGGGUAGGGGAAUUUCCGGUGUAGCGGUGAAAUGCGUAGAGAUCGGAAGGAACACCAGUGGCGAAGGCGCCUACCUGGCCAGAUACUGACACUGAGGCACGAAAGCAUGGGGAGCAAACAGG
Molecule: ribosomal RNA, 253 nt
Filed under: uncultured bacterium
Lineage: Bacteria
Description: partial 16S ribosomal RNA
Rfam family: Bacterial small subunit ribosomal RNA
Source: RNAcentral